Molecule: ribosomal RNA, 75 nt
Filed under: Salvator merianae (Argentine black and white tegu)
Lineage: Eukaryota; Metazoa; Chordata; Lepidosauria; Squamata; Teiidae
Source: RNAcentral
CCUGGUCGCUAAGCCAGGUCGGGCCUGGUUAGUACUUGGAUGGAAGACUGCUUGGGAAUAUCAGGUGCUAUAGGC